RNAcentral lists this ribosomal RNA (376 nucleotides) under uncultured bacterium. Its description in RNAcentral is "bacterial SSU rRNA". It matches the Rfam family "Bacterial small subunit ribosomal RNA", at positions 524 to 898 of the family's 1533-position model. The record is from RNAcentral.
UACAGAGGUCUCGAGCGUUGUUCGGAUUUACUGGGCGUAAAGGGAGCGUAGGCGGUUCGGUGUGUUGAAUGUGAAAUCCCACAACUCAACUGUGGAAUGGCAUUCAAAACUACCGGGCUAGAGUACUGGAGAGGAGAGCGGAAUUCUUGGUGUAGCGGUGAAAUGCGUAGAUAUCAAGAGGAACACCGGUGGCGAAGGCGGCUCUCUGGACAGAUACUGACGCUGAGGCUCUAAAGUUAGGGGAGCAAACAGGAUUAGAUACCCUGGUAGUCCUAACCUUAAACGGUGUACACUUGGUGUGCGAGGAAUUGUCCCUUUGCGCGCCGCAGCUAACGCGAUAAGUGUACCGCCUGGGGAGUACGGUCGCAAGAUUAAA